GUGGCUAUACUACCCUGAAUGCGCCCAAUCUCAUGUGAUCUCGAAAGCUAAGCAGGGUCAGGCCUGGUUCGUACUUCAAUGGGAGAUGCUGGGGUGAUCCUUUGGAAGUGUUCAACC
This 117-nucleotide ribosomal RNA is filed under the name Sorex araneus (European shrew). The record is from RNAcentral. Lineage: Eukaryota; Metazoa; Chordata; Mammalia; Eulipotyphla; Soricidae.